RNAcentral lists this ribosomal RNA (253 nucleotides) under uncultured bacterium. RNAcentral describes it as "partial 16S ribosomal RNA". It matches the Rfam family "Bacterial small subunit ribosomal RNA", at positions 524 to 776 of the family's 1533-position model. The record is from RNAcentral.
UACGGAGGGGGCUAGCGUUGUUCGGAAUUACUGGGCGUAAAGCGCGCGUAGGCGGCUUUGUAAGUUAGAGGUGAAAGCCCGAAGCUCAACUUCGGAAUUGCCUUUAAGACUGCAUCGCUAGAAUCAUGGAGAGGUUAGUGGAAUUCCGAGUGUAGAGGUGAAAUUCGUAGAUAUUCGGAAGAACACCAGUGGCGAAGGCGACUAACUGGACAUGUAUUGACGCUGAGGUGCGAAAGCGCGGGGAGCAAACAGG